CCUACACAUGCAGUCGAGCGGGAUGGAUUAGUUUAGUUUACUAAACUGAGACAUUCAGCGGCGGACGGGUGAGUAACGCGUGAGCAAUCUGCCUUGUACAGGGGGAUAACAGCCGGAAACGGCUGCUAAUACCGCAUAAGGCCACAGUACCGCAUGGUACAGGGGUCAAAGGAGAGAUCCGGUAUAAGAUGAGCUCGCGUUCCAUUAGCUGGUUGGUGAGGUAACAGCCCACCAAGGCAACGAUGGGUAGCCGGCCUGAGAGGGUGAACGGCCACAUUGGGACUGAGACACGGCCCAAACUCCUACGGGAGGCAGCAGUGGGGGAUAUUGCGCAAUGGGGGGAACCCUGACGCAGCAACGCCGCGUGAGUGAAGGAGGCCUUCGGGUCGUAAAACUCUGUGACAGGGGAAGAAGAAAGUGACGGUACCCUGAGAGGAAGCCCCGGCUAACUACGUGCCAGCAGCCGCGGUAACACGUAGGGGGCGAGCGUUGUCCGGAAUUACUGGGCGUAAAGGGUGCGUAGGCGGCCAGACAAGUCCGAUGUGAAAUACCAUGGCUAAACUGUGGGGGUGCAUAGGAAACUGUCUGGCUUGAGUGCAGGAGAGGGAAGUGGAAUUCCUAGUGUAGCGGUGAAAUGCGUAGAGAUUAGGAAGAACACCAGUGGCGAAGGCGACUUUCUGGACUGUAACUGACGCUGAGGCACGAAAGCGUGGGGAGCGAACAGGAUUAGAUACCC
RNAcentral lists this ribosomal RNA (736 nucleotides) under uncultured bacterium. RNAcentral describes it as "bacterial SSU rRNA". It matches the Rfam family "Bacterial small subunit ribosomal RNA", at positions 48 to 787 of the family's 1533-position model. The record is from RNAcentral.